Molecule: transfer RNA, 72 nt
Filed under: Bos taurus (domestic cattle)
Lineage: Eukaryota; Metazoa; Chordata; Mammalia; Artiodactyla; Bovidae
Also listed under: 5 other names
Rfam family: tRNA
About the family: Transfer RNA (tRNA) molecules are approximately 80 nucleotides in length.
Source: Rfam by way of RNAcentral
UCCCUGGUGGCUCAGACAGUAAUGCAUCUGCCUGCAAUGCAGGAGACCUGGGUUCGAUCCCUAGGUUGGGAA